RNAcentral lists this ribosomal RNA (253 nucleotides) under uncultured bacterium. Its description in RNAcentral is "partial 16S ribosomal RNA". It matches the Rfam family "Bacterial small subunit ribosomal RNA", at positions 524 to 776 of the family's 1533-position model. The record is from RNAcentral.
UAUGGAGGGUGCGAGCGUUGUCCGGAAUCACUGGGCGUAAAGGGCGCGUAGGCGGCCUGAUAAGUCGGGGGUGAAAUCCUGCGGCUUAACCGCAGGGCUGCCUUCUAAACUGUCAGGCUAGAGCACAGUAGAGGCAGGUGGAAUUCCCGGUGUAGCGGUGGAAUGCGUAGAGAUCGGGAAGAACAUCAGUGGCGAAGGCGGCCUGCUGGGCUGUUGCUGACGCUGAGGCGCGACAGCGUGGGGAGCAAACAGG